Molecule: ribosomal RNA, 301 nt
Filed under: uncultured bacterium
Lineage: Bacteria
Description: partial 16S ribosomal RNA
Rfam family: Bacterial small subunit ribosomal RNA
Source: RNAcentral
CAGCAGCCGCGGGAAUACGUAGGGUGCAAGCGUUAAUCGGAAUUACUGGGCGUAAAGCGUGCGCAGGCGGUUUUGUAAGUUUGUCGUGAAAUCCCCGGGCUUAACCUGGGAACUGCGCUUGUGACUGCACAGCUAGAGUAUGGCAGAGGGGGGUGGAAUUCCACGUGUAGCAGUGAAAUGCGUAGAGAUGUGGAGGAACACCAGUGGCGAAGGCGACUCUCUGGUCUGUAACUGACGCUGAGGAGCGAAAGCGUGGGGAGCGAACAGGAUUAGAUACCCCCGUAGUCCCUGUCUCUUAUAA